UUCCCUCACGAGAAGCCUGUUAGAGGCUUCCUUGGUCCCGGAAGCCCCUGAGCGUAGCUGCUGCGAUGGAGAAGAUGCUGGCGAGCCCUCAAGGCAGCGUCCUGGUGAAAAGAACCCCAGACACACCGCUUCUCUCCCCUUUAGUCUGUGCCCUCCCGGACCGCGCUUCCCCCAAAUCUUGCAGCAUCAACGAGGCCUGCCCAGAAUGCAAUCACCUCUAGGAGGGCAGUGGCUCACUGUUGGAUCUCCAGUACUCAGAACCUGGCGCACCACAGGUCUGAUGGCUUUGGGAGUCACACGUCUUCUCCGGCCCACUGGAGACAAGUCACAGCAGGACCGGAAGAUCCCACAGCCGCUUGCAUGCUGUAAAAUCCCCCUUGCUAUUCAGAUAAUGUAAAAAGCUUGCCAGUUUGGGACCCACCUCUGGGCUCCCCACACCACAGUCCUAACCUCCCGGGUUCAAGGAAAGUUGCUCCUGGCUCAUUCUGGAAUGUGGGGGGGGAGACAGGGGUUGGUGGGAGGUACCUGAGCAUACCCCCACUGAAGACUAGACGCUUUUCCACGUGGGAUUGGGAUCCAUAAAGCUGAUUGAAUUUUCGGUAAGGGUAGGUUGGAGAAGGGUGCAAGAAACUGACUCCCCCAAAGAUUCAGGAGCAUCUUCUUUGACUUCUGGUUACCCGGGCUGUUGGCAGGUGUGGGUUGGGGGGAAGGAGUUGCAAAAUCGGUACAGUGAGGAGAGUCUAUCCCACGGGGCACCUGGCAAGGCAACACUUCUGGCAUGGCUGGCACUCAACAAAUAUGGAAACUUCCAAGAGUCUGCUGUCUGGCUGCCAAUCACAAGGGAGUGGAGUCAGGAUGUGCCCCCGCCUGUGUGAUGGGAGGCUGGUGUAGGAGAUGCAUAGACAGGACCACCGGCUCCAGAGCCAUUUCUGCUUUUAGAAUAAUGGUGCGGUUUGUUUGUUUUUUAUUAAA
Budorcas taxicolor (takin) is the source of this 972-nucleotide long non-coding RNA. RefSeq lists it as uncharacterized. The transcript is spliced from 3 exons. The record is from RefSeq and is a predicted model, not a curated record. Lineage: Eukaryota; Metazoa; Chordata; Mammalia; Artiodactyla; Bovidae.